UCUACCUUAUACAUUGGGAUAGCCCGGAGAAAUUCGGAUUAAUACCUUAUAGUAUAUUAAAGUGGCAUCAUUUUAAUAUUAAAGAUUUAUCGGUAUAAGAUGAGCAUGCGUCCCAUUAGUUAGUUGGUGUGGUAACGGCAUACCAAGACUAUGAUGGGUAGGGGUCCUGAGAGGGAGAUCCCCCACACUGGUACUGAGACACGGACCAGACUCCUACGGGAGGCAGCAGAGAGGAAUAUUGGUCAAUGGACGGAAGUCUGAACCAGCCAUGCCGCGUGCAGGAAGAAUGUCCUAUGGAUUGUAAACUGCUUUUAUACGGGAAGAAACGCAUCGACGUGUCGAUGUUUGACGGUACCGUAAGAAUAAGGAUCGGCUAACUCCGUGCCAGCAGCCGCGGUAAUACGGAGGAUCCUAGCGUUAUCCGGAAUUAUUGGGUUUAAAGGGUCCGUAGGCGGCUUGAUAAGUCAGCGGUGAAAGUUUUUGGCUUAACCAAAAAAUUGCCGUUGAUACUGUUUAGCUUGAAUAAUUGUGAAUUAACUAUAAUAUGUAGUGUAACGGUGCAAUUGCUUAGAUAUUACAUGGAAUACCACUUGCACCUGCACGUUAC
Molecule: ribosomal RNA, 607 nt
Filed under: uncultured bacterium
Lineage: Bacteria
Description: bacterial SSU rRNA
Rfam family: Bacterial small subunit ribosomal RNA
Source: RNAcentral